Molecule: non-coding RNA, 1007 nt
Organism: Myodes glareolus (Bank vole)
Lineage: Eukaryota; Metazoa; Chordata; Mammalia; Rodentia; Cricetidae
Source: RefSeq, a predicted model, not a curated record
GGAAAGGCAGGGUGUUGAAUUCACACCCAACAUUCAAAGGUCUGACUGGUUUGGCCUCACUGAAUGAAUUCCUUCAAAACUCAUGCGUGGAAAUCCUAGGCAAUAGCAUGAAGAUGUAGAACUGAGGAGGUGGCGAGGCCGUGAGUCUGGAACCCUCAGGAUUGGGAUUGGUGUCCUUUCCACCAGAAGAAACAAGAGAGAGCGAUCCACUUCGCCACAUGAGAGCGCAGUGAUGUGGCACCAUCUGUGAGGGAGCAGACACUUACCAGACACUGCAGGACCCUGAUCUCUGCUCUCCUGCCCGCAGAUCUGUAAGAAAUACUGUGCUGUUUGCUGUCCACCCUCAGGAGCAUUGUCACCUUGGAAGGAAUGUGUGUGACUUCACCAUGCUGUGAGGAAGCCUAAGCUGGGCACAUGAUGUGGGACCAUAGGAAGAGCACGAAGGCCAUGCACAAGUGAGCAGGUCAUUCACAGGUCUUCACCCCCGCUGCCACCAGAGUGCAAUUAAAGUUCCCAGAGAUGGCGGGACACCUGAAAAUGCCCCGCUAAUCUUCCCAUCUUUGUGAAGGAAGUGCCGAUCUUCUCUUCUGCUACUUCCUCUUCUCUCCUGAGCAGAGCAGUGAACUAAGUGUCUUUGUGUCCUACGGCUGCAGUCAUCAGAUGUUUCUACCUUCUUCCCCUUUCUCACCUCUUCUGGAAGCGAGUCUGCCUACUGGAAAUAUGUCCGAGUCUUGCUCUCGAUCAAGAAGUCCACUGCUUCUGAGAAUCUCAUCACAGAAUGGAUGAAUCACCCCAGUUCCUGCCUGCAGGAUUGGAACCCACAAACCUGAAGCUGUUCGGCUUUAGUUCUUCAUUACCUACUUUAUAGAGGGACGGCUAUGGUCUGGUCUUCCACCUGCUGUGUGCUUCGGUCUUUAUUUCUCAGUUGAACUUCAGGAAUGAAAUUAAGAUGACUAUUUAUUCUUUUCUCUCUUGGGUCCCUUGAAAAUGCAAUACAUUUUACUUAA